This 253-nucleotide ribosomal RNA is filed under the name uncultured bacterium. RNAcentral's name for it is "partial 16S ribosomal RNA". It matches the Rfam family "Bacterial small subunit ribosomal RNA", at positions 524 to 776 of the family's 1533-position model. The record is from RNAcentral.
UACGGAAGGUGCAAGCGUUGUUCGGAAUCACUGGGCUUAAAGCGUGUGUAGGCGGAUCGUUAAGUGUCUUGUGAAAUCCCACGGCUCACCCGUGGAACUGCUGGGCAUACUGGCGAUCUUGGGCCAACUAGGGGCAGCCGGAACAAGCGGUGGAGCGGUGAAAUGCGUAGAUAUCGCUUGGAACGCCGAAGGUGAAAACAGGCUGCUGGGGUUGCGCCGACGCUGAGACACGAAAGCCAGGGGAGCAAACGGG